AAGGAUCAUUAACGAAUAUCUAUGGCGUUGGUUGUAGCUGGCUCCUAGGAGCAUUGUGCACGCCCGUCAUUCAUAUCAUCUUUCCACCUGUGAACCAUGUGUAGGCCUGGAUACCCCUCGCUUUGGCAACAAAGCGGAUGCAAGGAUUGCUGCGUCGACAAGGCCGGCUCUCUUUGAAUUUCCAGGUUCUAUGUCUUUUACACACCCCAUUCGAAUGAUUUAGAAUGUAGUCAAUGGGCUUUCAUGCCUAUAAAAAACUAUACAACUUUCAGCAACGGAUCUCUUGGCUCUCGCAUCGAUGAAGAACGCAGCGAAAUGCGAUAAGUAAUGUGAAUUGCAGAAUUCAGUGAAUCAUCGAAUCUUUGAACGCACCUUGCGCUCCUUGGUAUUCCGAGGAGCAUGCCUGUUUGAGUGUCAUUAAAUUCUCAACCUCACCAGUUUUGUAACGAGACAGGUGAAGGCUUGGAUGUGGGGGUUUUGCAGGCUGCCUCAGUGCUGGUCUGCUCCCCUGAAAUGCAUUAGCGAGCUCAUAUUGAGCUUCCGUCUAUUGGUGUGAUAAUUAUCUACGCCGUGGAUUGGACUCAUGCUUGCUUCUAGCCGUCCGCAAGGACAAUUUACUUGACCAAUUUGACCUCAAAUCAGGUAGGACUACCCGCUGAACUUAA
RNAcentral lists this ribosomal RNA (665 nucleotides) under Candolleomyces candolleanus. Its description in RNAcentral is "eukaryotic LSU rRNA". The stretch from base 264 to 417 matches the Rfam family "5.8S ribosomal RNA". Lineage: Eukaryota; Fungi; Basidiomycota; Agaricomycetes; Agaricales; Psathyrellaceae. The record is from RNAcentral.